RNAcentral lists this unclassified non-coding RNA (415 nucleotides) under Hevea brasiliensis (rubber tree). The record is from RNAcentral. Lineage: Eukaryota; Viridiplantae; Streptophyta; Magnoliopsida; Malpighiales; Euphorbiaceae.
GGGUCACCAGGAAUCUGCAACAAGAGAUUUGGAACCCUCGUGCAAAUAAAGAGCGAGUUGCUCCCUCUGGGGUGGAGGUCCUACGCAGUAUUGAUGAGACUUUUGAAGCAUUUUUUUUGUUACCGAUACCUAUGCAUCCAGAUUUGCUUCCAGAAUUAAUGAAUGGUCUUGACAGAUGCCUGCAGAACUACAUAUUGAAGGCUAUAUCUGGCUGUGGAUCUCGAAGUGCCUUUGUUCCGACUAUGCCUGCUUUGACUAGAUGCUCAACUGGGUCAAAAUUCCGUGUGUUCAGGAAGAAAGAGAGAUCUCCUAUGGUUCCGUAUAGGAAAUCUCAAAGUGGGACCACUAAUGGAGAUGAUUCUUUCAGCAUACCUCAGUUGUGUGUCCGUAUAAAUACUUUGCAUUCCAUACGAAA